This 435-nucleotide ribosomal RNA is filed under the name uncultured bacterium. Its description in RNAcentral is "partial 16S ribosomal RNA". It matches the Rfam family "Bacterial small subunit ribosomal RNA", at positions 28 to 507 of the family's 1533-position model. The record is from RNAcentral.
GAUGAACGCUGGCGGUAUGCUUAACACAUGCAAGUCGAACGGACUCUUCGGAGUUAGUGGCGGACGGGUGAGUAACGCGUGAGAAUCUGGCUUUGGGUUCGGGACAGCCACUGGAAACGGUGGCUAAUACCGGAUGUGCCGAGAGGUAAAAGAGAAAUUGCCUGAAGAUGAGCUCGCGUCUGAUUAGCUAGUUGGUGAGGUAAAGGCUCACCAAGGCAGCGAUCAGUAGCUGGUCUGAGAGGAUGACCAGCCACACUGGGACUGAGACACGGCCCAGACUCCCACGGGAGGCGGCAGUGGGGAAUUUUCCGCAAUGGGCGAAAGCCUGACGGAGCAAUACCGCGUGAGGGAAGAAGGCUCUUGGGUUGUAAACCUCUUUUCUUAGGGAAGAACAAAAUGACGGUACCUAAGGAAUCAGCAUCGGCUAACUCCGUG